UUAUGACAUUUGUGACAAGCUAGGAGGGAUAGCUAACGAAAAUACAAAAAAUCUUAGAAGACAGUAUGCCAUAAUGGAUAGAGCACUGGAGUUGGAGUCAGAGAGAUGUGAGUUGGAAUUUAUCUUCAGAUACUUUCCAGCUUUAUGGCAUUCUAUUAAAUGGGAAUAAUAUUUAUCUUUUAAGUGAAGAUAAUAUAUCAAAUAAAAUAAUAUAGAAAAGGCUCUAUAAACCUUAAAGAACUAUGUAAAUGCCAUUUGCUACUAUUAUUGCUGUUAUUAAUUGGACAGAUUGGAAAAUUGGACUGAAUUUAUCAGGAUACAGUUUAUUUUUUAUUAUUAUUUUUAAUUUGAAAAAAAAUUUCUUUACAAUAUUAUCCCUUGCACUCACUUCCGAUUUUAUCCCUCCCUCCCUCUACCCCCUCCCCCAAAUGGCAAGCAGUCUUAUACAUGUUGAAUAUGUCACAGUAUAUCCUAGAUACAAUAUAUGUGUGCAGAACCAAACAGUUCUCUUGUUGCCCAGGAAGAAUUGGAUUCAGAAGGUAAAAAUAGCCCGGGAAGAAAAACAAAAAUGCAAACAGUUUACAUUCAUUUCCCAGUGUUCUUUCUUUGGGUGUAGCUGCUUCUUUCCAUCGUUGAUCAACUGAAACUGAGUUAGAUCUUCUCUUUUUCAAAGAAAUCCACUUCCAUCAGAAUACAUCCUCAUACAGUAUUGUUGUUGAAGUAUAUAAUGAUCUCCUGGUUCAUUUCACUUAGCAUCAGUUCAUGUAAGUCUCUCCAAGCCUCUCUGUAUUCAUCCUGCUGGUUGUUUCUUACAGAACAAUAAUAUUCCAUAACAUUCAUAUACCACAAUUUAUCCAACCAACCUCCAAUUGAGGGGCAUUCAUUCAUUUUCCAGUUUCUAGCCACUUCAAACAGGGCUGCCAUACACAUUUUGGCACAUAAAAGUUUCUUUCCCUUCUUUAGUAUCUCUUUGGGGUAUAAGCCCAGUAGUAACACUGCUGAAUCAAAGGGUAUGCAUAGUUUGAUAACUUUUUGGGCAUAAUUCCUGAUUGCUCUCCAGAAUGGUUGGAUUCAUUCACAACUCCACCAAUAAUGCAUCAGUGUCCCACCAUCAGUGUCCCAGUUUUCCCGCAUUCCCUCCAACAUUCAUCAUUAUUUUUUCCUGUCAUCGUAGCCAAUCUGACAGGUAUGUAGUUGUGUUCUGGAUAUCUGAAGGAUUCAUCUACCAUACAGAAGGAUUAAAUUUGGGUAUAAGUAGAUAAAGGGAAAGGACUAGUUUAGUUCUGUCUUUAUGUCUCAAUUGACCAUCCCAAUCAAUCCCUUGUCCAUAGGGCAAUGACAUGGUAGAACACUGUUCUGCAGUCAGAAGACCUAGUUGUGGUAGCUCCUGCCUGGGGAACCUGCCUAUGGUCCAUCUUUCUAGAUCUCAGUGUAUCAGCUAGAAAAUGAGGGAGCUGGACUAGAUGGCUUCUGGAAUCCCAUUUCAGAUCUAAAUCUAUGAUCCAAUGAUGCUGUUGGUGCCUAAUAAGUGCUCACUGAAAUGAAUUAAGCUCCAAAAGCAAAAAUAGGACCAGCAAGUGGAAAUGUCAGGGUAGCAAGUUUUGGCCCAAUAUACUAUAGAAAUUUUGAAUUGGGGAUAACCAGAAUUAAGGAUACCUUCCUGAGGCAGGCCUGGCAUCAGGUGGAGACAUGCUUCCUUAAGGUGAACCAUUUAUGGAUGUCUCAAUUUUGGCAGCCUAUCAACUGGAAAAGGCAGAAGGCAAUCUUGUUGGUAUCCUCUUAACCCUGGGCUGUCUGUCAUACAAACCAUAGAUCUUAGAGCUGAGAGGGGCUUCAUGAGAGCAUCUGAACACAUGGAAUCUUAAUCAGAAAGAACCUUAGAGCUCAUCUCAUCCAGUCCAAAUCUAAACAAGAGCUUACUCUUGUUCUUUGCCAGCCAGUGGCCAUCCAGUCUUUGCUUGAAGAGCUCCAGAAAGAGGAAAUCUCAGUUUUCUGAGUCAAUCUAUUCUACUUUUACACAACUCUAAUUGUUAGGAGUAUUUUGCAACCAAAUUUGCCCACUGUUUCUAGUCUGAUUUUUUUUAUGGUAAAUAAAUUUUCCCUCUUCCCUCUCUUCCUCCUAAAGAUAGCAAGAAAUCUGAUAUAGGUUAUAUGUGUAUAAUCAUUUAAAACAUGUUUCCAUAUUAGUUAUCUUGUUAAAGAAAAAUCAGAACAAAAGGGGAAAACCAUGAGAAAAAAAUAAAAAUAGUAUGUUUCAAUCUGCAUUCAGUCUUCAUAGUUCUUUCUUUGGAUGUUGAUGGUAUUUUCCAUCACAAGUCUUAUUAGAAUUGCCUUGAAUCACUUCAUUGUUGAAAAGAGCCAAGUCUAUCACAGCUGAUCAUCACAUAAUUUUCUUGUUACUAUGAAAAUAUUCUCCUAGUUCUGCUCACUUCACUCAGCAUCAGUUUAUAUUAAUCUUUCCAGGUUUUUCUGAAAUCUGCCUCCUCACUAUUUCUUAUAGAAUAAUCCUAUUCCAUUACAUUCAUAUACCACAACUUGUUUAGACAGUCCCUAAUUGAUGAGUAUCUUCCCAACUCCAAUAUUCAUCAGCAUAAAAGUACACAGACAAAAAUGCUGUUUUCCUGAACUAGGUUAGUUAGCCUCUUCUGAGGCAGGCUGGUGGCUGAUACCUCUCCUGAAGAUAUUUGAUAAGCUUUAAUUAUGUUAUAUCUCAGAAUGCCCAAACUCAAGUGACCCACCAGUCUCAGCUUCCUCUAGUACAAAGCUUGCACUGCCACAUCUGAUAUAUUCAUAAUUUUUACUACAGAAAUAUUCCAUCAUAUUCAUGUAUCACACUUUGUUUAGUCUUUCCCUAAAUGAACAAAGUAGUUUGUUUCUACUUUGCUUUCACAAAAAGUGUUGCUAUAAUAUUUUGGUGUAUUUAAGAUCUUCCUGUGUUUGACCUCCUUCGGGUAUAUCUGCAUGUAUAUGUAUAUAUUGUGUACAUGUACAUAUAUAGUAACAAGAUCUUUUGGCUAAAAAGCAUUGUCAUUUUAAUCUUACUUUUUAAAAAGCAAAGUUUCACAUUGCUUUUUGGAACAUUUGUACUGAUUCAUAGUGCCACCAAAAAUGUUUUAGUAUAUGUCUUCCUAUAUCCCUUCCAAUUUUGACAAUUUCUAAAUUGUGACACUUGUCCAUUUGCUAAGUGUGUUUUGGAAAGAUCUUUCAUGUGAUUCUUGCAAUUUUCUGUGCAAAUUUCCUAUAACCACUUCACUGAAGAAUGACUCUUGUGUUGUUGAUUACGCUAUAUAUCUUGGAUAUCAGACCUUUAUCAGAGAUACUUAAUUCACAGAUGACAGUUUCUAUUCUUACAAAAGCUUUUCAAUUUCAUCUAAUUGGACUUAUCCAUUCUAUCUUUUGUGUUCUCCUUCAUUCUCUGUUUAGAUAAACAUUUUCCCCCUCUAAUGGAAUAUUAUUAUACCAUAAGAAAUAAAGAAGAAGAAUUCAGAGAAGCUAUAUGAAGUGAUACAGAGGGAAAUAAGAACCAUAAAAAUCACAUAUGCAAUGACUUCAACAAAAAUGUAAAUGACAAAAAAAUUAAUAAUUAUAAUGACCAAACUUUUCCUCUGAAGAAUAGUUGAGAAAACAUCUUUCUCUCCCUUUAUUGCAGAAGUAUAGGACUAAACAUGGAGAAUACUGCAUAUGGUAUCAGAUAUCUUAGAUAUUUUGUUUAGUUUUCUCCCCCUCUCCCCUUUUUAAAAAAAAGUUUUUAUUGCAGGGAUUUCAUGAUGGGUAGGGGAGUAGGAAUAGAUUAUAUUCAGAAAUGACAAUAUAAAAACAAACCCCACUAAUAAUGACAUAUUUUUUAAAAAUUAUCUUUUGUCAUAGUUGUGAAAAAUGUUGAUAUCUCUUUUACUCUAAUUUUUUAAAAAUGACCAUUUCAAGUUGAGUAACAAUUUUGGAACUUAUUAUGGUGUAAAAUACUGACUGAAAUCUCAUUUUUUUCUUUUUUUCACACACUAUUCUCCAAUUUUUCCAGCAGUUUUUGUCAAAAAAAAUUCAUCCCCAAUUAUUGGAUUCUUCGUUUAAAGUUAAAGUAACGUGUACAAAAUUACAUAACAAUGCUGAAUUGAAUUGAGAGUCACACAAAACUGAUUGGAUCUAUCAUGCUAGACUCAAUUGGAUCAAUUCAGAUCAGUCAGUCAAUAAGCGUUUAAGUACCAUGUGGCAGGCACUGUGUUAAACAAUGAAAAUACAAAAAGAUGCAAAAGAUCUGCCCUCAGAGAACUUAUGAUCUAAUCAAUACCCAAAGGAAAUAUGUAUAAACAAGCUAUAGGCAGAAUAAAUAGGAAACAGUUAACAAAGAAAAGAUACCUAAAUUAAGAGGGGAUGUUAAAUGCAUUUUAGAAUGUGGAAUUUUAGUUGAAACUUAAAGGUCAGGAAAGCCAGGAGGUAGAGAUGAGGAAAGAGAGCAUUCCAGGCAUGGGGGAAAGUCAGAGAAAAUGCCUGAAGCCAAGUGAUGAAUCAAAGAGUACAUGGUGAGAAGUAGGAUAUGUAUGUGUAGAAGAAGCUGGAUUAUAAAAAGGUUUACACACUAAACAGAAGAUUUUAUGUUUUACCCUGAAGGUGAUAUAGAGCCAAUGGAGUUUGUUGAAUAGGAGGUUGACAUGGUCAGAUACUAUACUUUAGGAAAAUCACUUUGGCAGUUCAAUGGAGAAUAGAUUGGAGUGGGAAAAGACUUAUGAUAGGCAGAUCUGCUAGUAAGCUAUUGCAAUAGACCAAUUGUGAGGUGAUGAGGGCUUGCUCUAGGCUAGUGAUAGUAUCAGAGGAGAGAGGGGUUGUAUUUGAGAGCUGAUGGAAAAAUGAAAUCAGCCCUUGGCAACAGAAUGAACAUGAAAGAUGAGGGCACCUAAGAUUAUGAACCUAGGGGACUGGGAGGAUGGUGUUGCCCUCUACGGUAAUAGGGGAGUUUAGAAGGGAGGAAGGUUUAGGAGAAAAAGAAUGGGUUUAUUUUGGAUAUAUUGAGUUUUGGAUGUCUACUAGAAUCCAGUUUGGUAUGUAUGAAGGGCAUUUGGAGAUGCAUGACUGGACAUCAGCAGAAAGAUUAGGGCAGGAUACAUAGAUUUGAAAAUCAACAAAAAAAAAUUUAAAUCCAUGGGAACUGAUGAGUUCACCAAGUGAAGUAGCAUAGAGGGAGAAGAGAAGAGUGCCUAGAUCAGAGCUUUGCGGGACACCUACAGCUAGAGGGUGUAACCUUGUGUGAAAAUAGCUAAGAAGAGUACCAGGAAAAAGCGGGUGUCCCAAAAACCUAGAGAGAAGAGAGCAUCAAGGGGAAGAGAGCACUCAAUAGUAUCAAGAUAUCUAGGAAAAUGAAGAUUGAAAAAAAGCCAUUUUAUUUGACAAUUAGGAAAUCAUUGGUAACUUCAGAGAGAACAGUGUUAAUGGAUGAGGUCAGAAGUCAGAUUGUAAGGGGUUAAGAAACAAAUAAAAGAAGAGAAAAUGGAAUCACUUAUUGUAGAUGGCCUUCUCAAAGGGUGUAGUAACCAAGGAUAGAAGAGAUGAGAUGAUAGCUAUCAGGGAAGGACCAAGUGAGAAUUUUUUGAGGAUGAGAGCUACAUGGACAUGUCUGAAGGUAAUAGGGAAGGAGCCAAUAAAAAGGGAAAAGUAGAAGAUAAGUAACAGUAUAGAUGAGAGAGGGAAGUAAUCUGUUGGAGAAGGUGUGAUGGGAUGGGAUUGCUUGUGUAGGUAGAAGGCUUUGCCUUGCUAAGAACUAGAGCCACCUCUUUGUGUGAGACAGAGGCAAAAGAAUAGAUAAUGGCAGAAGGCUUCUGAGUCAUAGAGAUGAGGAGGAGAAGAAAAUAACGAUCUUAAUGGAAUGGUCUCAAAUUCUUUUUUUUUGGCAAAAUAUGAGUCAAGGAUCUCAGCAAAGAGUGGGAAGCAUAGGAGAUUUGAGGAGGGAUGUAAAGGUUUGGAAGAGCUACUCUGGAGAGUGGGAUAGUGACUUAGAUCGUAGGAUUGCUUAGCAGCAGUUAGGGUCCAUUUGAGGUUGUAUAACAUAGAUUGUAGUGGAUCCGGUCAGAAUAUUGCAUAAUUGUCUCCACCUUUGUUAGGUAUAUAAGAGUAAAUGUGGCUGACAGAUUAUUCAAGACUGAGGCUUGGCAGUUGAAGAUAUGAUAAGGAGACCAGGGACUCAACUGAUUGAUCAAGGGUUCAAGAUGGGGGAAAAGAAGAGAGUCUAGUGCAGGAUCUAUGGCCUGGAAGUGAAGUGAGAGGCUGAGAGACUGGAGGUCACAAUAUGGAUUAAAAUAGGGUUUGGUAAGGAAAGAAGGAGAGAUGAAAAACCAUAGCCAGAGAAGAGGUUUUCAGAAUUCUUCAAUUGGAAAUGGUACCUUUGUGAAUAAAGGUAAAAAGCCAGGGUACACCAUUAUUGUUUAUAGCUGAUGUGGAGUAAAAGAGUAGCUUGUAGGAAUUGAGAGAGAGCAGAGCCAAAAUGGUAGAGAGUAGACAGGUCUUGAGCUCUUCUUGACUUCCCUCAGAUCAACAUCAUAUCAAGUCUCUGAACUGGUUUUGGAGUGACAGAACACACAAAUAUUUGGAACGUAACAAAUUUCCACAGAAGAUAUUUUUGAAGAACUUCAGAAAAGGUCUGUUUUAAUUGGGCACUGGGGGAGGUGGAUGAGGGCAGGGACAGUGCAGGGACCCAAGGUGGUGUGGCAUUCUGUGCAUUGGGGGGAUCUACUAUUAGGCUCUUAGCCAAAAUACAGCAGUCUUGGCUACUCUGUCCUGGUUCAGAAGCAAGUGGAAUAGCAGACUAGCUAUGAGACAUCCAAUUCCAAAAGGCAAACAAUGAACCCCAGAAUAAGGAGAGAAUUGGUCACAUCCACCCAAUACAGGAAGGAAGUCAGUAGCAUUGGCCUCAUGGCAGCAUGAAGCUGCUCUUGCCUGUAGAGAAACCUUGGGACAAUCUCCUUUUUGCCCUAAGAGCAGACCUCAAUCUUUAAAAAUGAACAAAAAGCAAAAAGAACUCUGACCAUAGAUAGCUUUUAAUGGAGACAUAGAAGAACAGACUUCAAACCCUGAGGUCACCAGACAAAGCCCCAAAGGGUGAUAUGAAUUGGUCUCCAUCUCACAAGGCUCUCUUGAAAGAAUAAAAAAAAAAGGAGUUGAGUAGAUUAAGGAACUGAGUGGUUAGAGUGUUUGAGAGAGAAUAUGUAUGUCAAAGUCUCCUAGAAUGGGGAGAAGAGAAAAAUGAUGAAUUAGGAAAAGAACUCAAUGAAGGAGGAAGAAGAAUGACCUAGAAGUCUACAAAUAAUAGCUAGAGAAUUCUGAUUGGGCCUCAAAGGAAAAAAGGUUACCCGAGAGAUGGAGAUAAGGAGAGAACCUGGACAUGGCAAGAGGAAGAAAGGAGUAUUUCAACUCCCUUCCACUUCAACCAGUGAGCCUAGAGGAAUGAAUGAAAGUCCAAUCAGUACUAGAAAGGAGGGUUGUGGAAGUUUUAUCUUCAGUGAAGAGCCAGGUCCCAGUAAUUUCUAAAAAAUGGAAAGAAUGGGAGAGAAAAAAAAAAUUUAAUGAAAAAAAUGUUUGUUGCCUAUGGAGCAGGUAUUCCAGAGAGCACAACGAGAGGAGUAGGUUACAUUUGGUUGGGAUUUUGGAUUAAGAUUUUGGAUUAAAAGAGGUGGAAAUAAAUUAUCAGGUGGCAGGGGGAUGAGGAAUAGUGAUGAUGACCUUGAUAACCUACAGGGAUUUAGAUGAAAAUCCAGGAUAUGUAGGAAGGAAGAGUAUUUUAAUUAUUUUUAAUACACAUUGUUUUAUGAAUUAUGUUGGGAGGGAAGAGUAUUUUAUUCAUGGAGUGGAAGGUCCUCCUCUUUCUCCCAAAAGAGGCUAGAGAUCAGUUAAAAGAAAUUCAAAGCCCCAGAUGGAAGGUGUUUGGUCAGAUGGAAGUUCCUAUUUCACUUCUCUUCUAUCUGAAGUCUGGAAAUUAGACAGAAGAUGGUGCAGCAGGAGGCAGUGUGAUAGGAGAUGGAAAUUGAACCUCCCUCAGCAGGAGCUGGAUACCCCACCAACUUUCUGCUUCCUCUUCCCUCAGGACACAGGCACACCUGAAGAUGGAAGAUUAGCCACCAUAAGUGAAGGUCGCUCCUCUUCAUCUGGAGAUCAGGCAAUCAAAGCAGAAGAUGGAAACUGCUGUGCUCUGGUGCAGAUGGAAAUCACCCUUUGUUCCUUUCCCUCAGGGGAUAUACACAGCAGGAGACGGAAAGCAUGUGGUCAAAAGAAGGUGGCCCGCCUCUCACAACCCAUGCCUGGAAUGUUCUCCCUCCUUACCUCCACCUCUCAAGAUCCUUCAUUCUCUUCAAGAUUCAUCUCAAGUACCAGCUGCUUGCUAUACACAGGCUUUUCUGAUUACUCACUCUUGUAACCCAUCCUCCCAAAUUACUUGGUGUUCACCUUGUGUACUUUCUUAUCUGCAUAUAUGUCGUUUUCCUCCAACCAGAAAUUGCUUUUGUAUUCCCAGCACCUAGCACAGAUCCUGGCAUAUAGGGGGUAAUGACAAAAUACUUACAAGGCAUCAGAUAACGAGUCCAUCACUGGGAGAGUGCUCAAAGCCUUUCUCUUUCGGCGGCUGCUACCUGGUGGGAUAUCCCACAAGAACUCAGCAUCAUUUUUACCCCAUGGGAGAGACAUAUCUUAGUGGAGGUGAAUAAUAGCUUUCACAUAAUACAGUAGCUGGUUAAAGUUUACCUUUAGAAGAAAGACAGUGCAAAUAUUCUAGGUCCUAUUUUAAAGUUGAAGAAGAUGAGGUCAGAGUGGUGGAAUGUUGUACCUGGGGUUCUAGAGCUGGUAAUCAUUAGCAAUCAGGGCCUGCACUAGCAGGACGUGUGUCUGACUUCGGGACCAGUACAGUUUCCUCUAUACUGGGUUUCUUCAAUGAAUGAAUGAACAAAUGAACGAAUGAAUGAAUGAAGGUGAUAUUCACGUUUUGUCCAGUCAUUAGAAACACCUGACCCCUUGACCGCUGGCUCCAGCCUGUGCCUCGGCUCUCUCCUGCCCAGCCCACGGUGGGCAGUCCCCCUGUAACCAGAGGGGAGGGCAUCGGAGAUUCUUCACAGGUGUUUGCAGCUCCCGCCUCCCAUCCCACCCCCACUUUCCCCACCUGGGGGGAUGAAAGGUCCCAGGCAAGUAGAUCCUUCCUAAUUUUGGCAAACCCAGCGGGCAAGGGGGAGAGCUAUGCUUCUCCCCCCCGACUGUGGCUGAAAGGGAAACAGCUGGGGUUGGCUAGCCAGCCCCGGCUCCUGCGGCACACGGCCCAGCCCCUGAUGGCAGCCGAACGCCUUUCAUCCUCAGCACUAUUGUUCAGAAUUAGCGGAGCUGCCAUUCAGGGCUUCAAAUGCAAAACCGCUCCCUGCCGGACAGGAGCCAGGGGGAGCCAGGGGAGCUGAGUGGCCUCUGCUCAGCUUUUAAUAGACCAAAGGACCCUGGCAGUUUAGCUCUUUUUCCUAAUUUAAAGCUAUUUUCAGUCGUUUGGAAACUCCCCUGUGGUGGAGCAAGAAGGCCAGGAGAGGGGGGUUGAGAGAUGGGGGACUUGAAACUCUCUUCUGGAUCUCCCCUUCCCUUUUCUACAAGAGGCUUGUCACAGGAUUGUCUAGGAAUGGGCUAAAAGCAAAAAAGCAGAGGAGAAUGUCUGUGUUUGGGAAGAGGAUCCAGGUUACUGGGGCUCAGGCCUCUGGGUCAGGGGUCCAACACUGGAGAGGAACACAAAAUUUAGAGCUGGAAAGGACUCUCAGACAUCAAUUAGCUUAGCUCUCUCAUUUUACAGGUCAAGAAACUGGGCCCAGAAAGACCAUAUAGACUCAUCCAAUGUCACAGAUAGUAAAUUUCAGUCAGGAUUUUCAAGUCCAGGGCUCUUUGGGCUACACCAUAACACCAAGUGCUUCUUUUAGUCACCCACUUGAUCCUGCUUCUGUUCCAUAGCUAAGAGCAGAAUUCAAAGGUCACCACCUGCUCUGCCAGUGGGCUGCAGCCUGUCUAGAAAGAUCAAAUUGAAUUCCUCUUUCUAUCUUAAGAAAGGACAGCCCUUUGGGACAAGCUCCGAGAUGGAGGUUGCAUGCGGUCAACUGAAGAGGUAACAAUGAAAAUUGAAAAUCUCAUUUUCAAGUCUGAAGCUUUGAAUUCAAAUCCAGCCUCAGUCACUAUCUGUGGAGCCUUAGGAAAGUUUGUUUUCUUAUCUGUAAAACAGCUGCUAAAGAUCUUUCCAGCUUUAGAGUGAUGAUUUUAUAAUUUAAACCUCCAAGUCUUCUUCCCAAUCUCCUAAACCUAGGGAAAGGGAAAUUACCGAGAAAGAAAGAUAACCAAAUCAUCCAACAAGAAGGGAGAAAAAAGUCCAAGUAUUUCAUGAUUAAAUAUUGCAACACUAGAAA
Antechinus flavipes (yellow-footed antechinus) is the source of this 10394-nucleotide long non-coding RNA. RefSeq lists it as uncharacterized. NCBI's taxonomy places the organism in Eukaryota, Metazoa, Chordata, Mammalia, Dasyuromorphia, Dasyuridae. The transcript is spliced from 2 exons. The record is from RefSeq and is a predicted model, not a curated record.